AGCAUCCGUAGCCGGUUCUGCAAGUCCUCCGUUAAAUCGACCUGCUCAACAGAUGGGCCGCGGAGGAUACUACAGGGCUAGGAGGCGGGAGAGGCAAGCGGUACUCAAUGGGUAGGGGUAAAAUCCACUGAUCCAUUGAAGACCACCAGUGGCGAAGGCGGCUUGCCAGAACGCGCUCGACGGUGAGGGAUGAAAGCUGGGGGAGCAAACCGGAUUAGAUACCCGGGUAGUCCCAGCUGUAAACGAUGCAGACUCGGUGAUGGGCUGGCUUUGCGCCAGCCCAGUGCCGCAGGGAAGCCGUUAAGUCUGCCGCCUGGGGAGUACGGUCGCAAGACUGAAACUUAAAGG
This 348-nucleotide ribosomal RNA is filed under the name uncultured archaeon. RNAcentral describes it as "bacterial SSU rRNA". It matches the Rfam family "Archaeal small subunit ribosomal RNA", at positions 514 to 862 of the family's 1478-position model. The record is from RNAcentral.